GGGCGUUUAGCGCAGUGGUAGCGCGUAUGCUUUGCAUGGUCCCUCGAGACCUGACUUGUAUAAGGUCCAGGGUUCAAUCCCCUGAACGUCCA
RNAcentral lists this transfer RNA (92 nucleotides) under Coprinellus micaceus. It matches the Rfam family "tRNA". Rfam says of the family: Transfer RNA (tRNA) molecules are approximately 80 nucleotides in length. The record is from Rfam by way of RNAcentral. Lineage: Eukaryota; Fungi; Basidiomycota; Agaricomycetes; Agaricales; Psathyrellaceae.